CCUUCGGGACAAGGAGGACAGGUGGUGCAUGGUUGUCGUCAGCUCGUGUCGUGAGAUGUGGUUAAGUCCCGCAACGAGCGCAACCCUCGACCUUAGUUGCCAGCAUUCAGUUGGGCACUCUAGCGAGACUGCCGGUAAUAAACCGGAGGAAGGUGGGGAUGACGUCAAAUCAUCAUGCCCCUUAUGACCUGGGCUACACACGUGCUACAAUGGUUGGUACAACGAGUUGCGAGUCGGUGACGGCGAGCUAAUCUCUUAAAGCCAAUCUCAGUUCGGAUUGUAGGCUGCAACUCGCCUACAUGAAGUCGGAAUCGCUAGUAAUCGCGGAUCAGCACGCCGCGGUGAAUACGUUCCCGGGCCUU
This 362-nucleotide ribosomal RNA is filed under the name uncultured Streptococcus sp. RNAcentral's name for it is "bacterial SSU rRNA". It matches the Rfam family "Bacterial small subunit ribosomal RNA", at positions 1017 to 1382 of the family's 1533-position model. Lineage: Bacteria; Bacillati; Bacillota; Bacilli; Lactobacillales; Streptococcaceae. The record is from RNAcentral.